This 472-nucleotide ribosomal RNA is filed under the name uncultured bacterium. RNAcentral describes it as "partial 16S ribosomal RNA". It matches the Rfam family "Bacterial small subunit ribosomal RNA", at positions 28 to 507 of the family's 1533-position model. The record is from RNAcentral.
GACGAACGCUGGCGGCGUGCUUAACACAUGCAAGUCGAACGCUGAAGCUUGGUGCUUGCACUGGGUGGAUGAGUGGCGAACGGGUGAGUAAUACGUGAGUAACCUGCCCUUGACUCUGGGAUAAGCCUGGGAAACUGGGUCUAAUACUGGAUACGACAUGUCACCGCAUGGUGGUGUGUGGAAAGGGGUUUACUGGUUUUGGAUGGGCUCACGGCCUAUCAGCUUGUUGGUGGGGUAAUGGCUCACCAAGGCGACGACGGGUAGCCGGCCUGCGAGGGUGACCGGCCACACUGGGACUGAGACACGGCCCAGACUCCUACGGGAGGCAGCAGUGGGGAAUAUUGCACAAUGGGCGGAAGCCUGAUGCAGCGACGCCGCGUGAGGGAUGACGGCCUUCGGGUUGUAAACCUCUUUCAGCACGGAAGAAGCGAAAGUGACGGUACGUGCAGAAGAAGCGCCGGCUAACUACGUG